RNAcentral lists this ribosomal RNA (520 nucleotides) under Rhagophthalmidae sp. UPOL RK0088. Its description in RNAcentral is "partial 16S ribosomal RNA". The stretch from base 384 to 520 matches the Rfam family "Archaeal large subunit ribosomal RNA", at positions 2542 to 2679 of the family's 2987-position model. Lineage: Eukaryota; Metazoa; Arthropoda; Insecta; Coleoptera; Rhagophthalmidae. The record is from RNAcentral.
CAUGUCUUUUUGAUUAUAAUUUAAAGUUUAAUCUGCUCAAUGAUUAUUUAAAUUGCCGCAGUAUUUUAACUGUGCGAAGGUAGCAUAAUAAUUAGCUUUUUUAUUGGAAGCUGGAAUGAAUGAUUGGACGAAAAAUAUUCUGUCUCUAUUUAAUUUUUUGAUGAAUUUAAUUUUUAAGUUAAAAAGCUUAAAUUUAAAUUAAAGACGAGAAGACCCUAUAGAGUUUUAUUAUUAUAUUGAUUUGAUUUUUUUGGAAUUUAAAUUUAAAUUGUUUUAAUAAUUUGGUUGGGGUGACUUAAAGAUUUAAUUAACUCUUUUAAUUUACAAUCAUUGAUUUAUGAAUAUUUAAUCUUAUAUAUAAAAUUUAAAUUAAUUACCUUAGGGAUAACAGCGUAAUUUUCUUUAGAGUUCUUAUCGAAAAUGGAAGUUUGCGACCUCGAUGUUGGAUUAAAAUUUAUUAAAGGUGUAGAAGCUUUUUAAUUAAGUCUGUUCGACUUUUAAAAUUUUACAUGAUCUGAGU